UAAGGAAUAUUGGGCAAUGGACGCAAGUCUGACCCAGCCAUGCCGCGUGAAGGAAGAAGGCGCUACGCGUUGUAAACUUCUUUUGUAUGGGAAGAAUGACUAGGAUUUAUCCUGGGAGAGACGGUACCAUACGAAUAAGCACCGGCUAACUCCGUGCCAGCAGCCGCGGUAAUACGGAGGGUGCAAGCGUUAUCCGGAAUUACUGGGUUUAAAGGGUACGUAGGCGGCUUGUUAAGUCAGGAGUGAAAGACCGUUGCUUAACGACGGAAUUGCUUUUGAAACUGGCGAGCUUGAAACAGGUUAAGGUUUGCGGAAUGCGUCAUGUAGCGGUGAAAUGCAUAGAUAUGACGUAGAACACCGAAAGCGAAGGCAGCGAGCUGAGCCUAGUUUGACGCUGAGG
This 400-nucleotide ribosomal RNA is filed under the name uncultured bacterium. RNAcentral's name for it is "bacterial SSU rRNA". It matches the Rfam family "Bacterial small subunit ribosomal RNA", at positions 355 to 751 of the family's 1533-position model. The record is from RNAcentral.